CUACGGGGUGCUGCAGUGGGGAAUAUUGGACAAUGGGCGAAAGCCUGAUCCAGCCAUGCCGCGUGUGUGAAGAAGGCCUUCGGGUUGUAAAGCACUUUCAGUGGGGAAGAAAGCCUUGGGGCUAAUACCCUCGAGGAAGGACAUCACCCACAGAAGAAGCACCGGCUAACUCCGUGCCAGCAGCCGCGGUAAUACGGAGGGUGCGAGCGUUAAUCGGAAUUACUGGGCGUAAAGCGCGCGUAGGCGGUCUGAUAAGCCGGUUGUGAAAGCCCCGGGCUCAACCUGGGAACGGCAUCCGGAACUGUCAGGCUAGAGUGCAGGAGAGGAAGGUAGAAUUCCCGGUGUAGCGGUGAAAUGCGUAGAGAUCGGGAGGAAUACCAGUGGCGAAGGCGGCCUUCUGGACUGACACUGACGCUGAGGUGCGAAAGCGUGGGUAGCAAACAGGAUUAGAUACCCCGGUAGUC
RNAcentral lists this ribosomal RNA (464 nucleotides) under Vreelandella stevensii. RNAcentral describes it as "partial 16S ribosomal RNA". It matches the Rfam family "Bacterial small subunit ribosomal RNA", at positions 339 to 795 of the family's 1533-position model. The record is from RNAcentral. Lineage: Bacteria; Pseudomonadati; Pseudomonadota; Gammaproteobacteria; Oceanospirillales; Halomonadaceae.